UGGGGAAUAUUGGACAAUGUGCGCAAGCCUGAUCCAGCCAUGCCGCGUGUGUGAAGAAGGCCUUUUGGUUGUAAAGCACUUUAAGCGAGGAGGAGGCUACUUGGAUUAAUACUCUAGGAUAGUGGACGUUACUCGCAGAAUAAGCACCGGCUAACUCUGUGCCAGCAGCCGCGGUAAUACAGAGGGUGCGAGCGUUAAUCGGAUUUACUGGGCGUAAAGCGUGCGUAGGCGGCUUUUUAAGUCGGAUGUGAAAUCCCUGAGCUUAACUUAGGAAUUGCAUUCGAUACUGGGAAGCUAGAGUAUGGGAGAGGAUGGUAGAAUUCCAGGUGUAGCGGUGAAAUGCGUAGAGAUCUGGAGGAAUACCGAUGGCGAAGGCAGCCAUCUGGCCUAAUACUGACGCUGAGGUACGAAAGCAUGGGGAGCAAACAGG
This 430-nucleotide ribosomal RNA is filed under the name Acidobacteriota bacterium. Its description in RNAcentral is "Acidobacteria bacterium partial 16S ribosomal RNA". It matches the Rfam family "Bacterial small subunit ribosomal RNA", at positions 355 to 776 of the family's 1533-position model. Lineage: Bacteria; Pseudomonadati; Acidobacteriota. The record is from RNAcentral.